Molecule: ribosomal RNA, 444 nt
Filed under: uncultured bacterium
Lineage: Bacteria
Description: SSU rRNA
Rfam family: Bacterial small subunit ribosomal RNA
Source: RNAcentral
AGAACGAACGCUGGCGGCAGGCUUAACACAUGCAAGUCGAACGCCCCGCAAGGGGAGUGGCAGACGGGUGAGUAACGCGUGGGAAUCUACCCAGAUCUUCGGAACAACUGAGGGAAACUUCAGCUAAUACCGGAUACGCCCUACGGGGGAAAGAUUUAUCGGAUUUGGAUGAGCCCGCGUUGGAUUAGCUAGUUGGUGAGGUAAUGGCUCACCAAGGCGACGAUCCAUAGCUGGUCUGAGAGGAUGAUCAGCCACACUGGGACUGAGACACGGCCCAGACUCCUACGGGAGGCAGCAGUGGGGAAUAUUGGACAAUGGGCGAAAGCCUGAUCCAGCCAUGCCGCGUGAGUGAUGAAGGCCUUAGGGUUGUAAAGCUCUUUCAGUAGGGAAGAUAAUGACGGUACCUACAGAAGAAGCCCCGGCUAACUUCGCGCCAGCAGCCGC